UCAUUAAAUCAGUUAUCGUUUAUUUGAUAGUUCCUUUACUACAUGGUAUAACUGUGGUAAUUCUAGAGCUAAUACAUGCUUAAAAUCUCGACCCUUUGGAAGAGAUGUAUUUAUUAGAUAAAAAAUCAAUGUCUUCGGACUCUUUGAUGAUUCAUAAUAACUUUUCGAAUCGCAUGGCCUUGUGCUGGCGAUGGUUCAUUCAAAUUUCUGCCCUAUCAACUUUCGAUGGUAGGAUAGUGGCCUACCAUGGUUUCAACGGGUAACGGGGAAUAAGGGUUCGAUUCCGGAGAGGGAGCCUGAGAAACGGCUACCACAU
Molecule: ribosomal RNA, 316 nt
Filed under: Saccharomyces cerevisiae (brewer's yeast)
Lineage: Eukaryota; Fungi; Ascomycota; Saccharomycetes; Saccharomycetales; Saccharomycetaceae
Description: SSU rRNA
Rfam family: Eukaryotic small subunit ribosomal RNA
Source: RNAcentral